CCUGGGCCAGAAACCCAGAGCUGAGGCUUCUUAUCUACAGGGCGCGUGGCCACGUGGCACCUGGGCCAGAAACCCAGGGCUGAGGCUUAUUAUUUACGUGGUGCGUGGCUGCGUGGCACCCGAGCCAGAAACUGGGAACUGAGGCUUAUUAUCUAAAGGGAGAAUGGCCGUGUGGUGCCUGGGUCGGCUUUUCGGUCAAGGUGCCAUGGGCCUCAGCAAACAAAGCCAGAGCUCUCCUUCCUCCCUCUCCAGGAGUGGCUGGCACAAGACCCAUAUCUCAGCCUUUGCAGGCAAUGCUUUGGGCAUCCACAAAGAAUACGGCAAACACGGUGGAAUCCCAGGCACUGCCGGAGGCUUUCUGGGCCCCUCCACAGACUCACUUGCAAAUUCUUCCCUCAGUCCUAACAGCUCCUGGCAUUAGGGUUUGGCUAUGCCACUGCCUGUGAGUGACCCUGGACACCACCUUGUCCUCAGCCUGUGAGUGACCCUGGACACCGCCUUGUCCUCAGCCUGUGAGUGACCCUGGACACCGCCUUGUCCUCAGCCUGUGAGUGACCCUGGACACCGCCUUGUCCUCAGCCUGUGAGUGACCCUGGACACUGCCCUCGCCCCCGCCUGUGAGUGGCCCUGGACACUGCCCUCGCCCCCGCCUGUGAGUGACCCUGGACACUGCCCUCGCCCCCG
RNAcentral lists this long non-coding RNA (684 nucleotides) under Homo sapiens (human). Its description in RNAcentral is "HSALNT0197775". Lineage: Eukaryota; Metazoa; Chordata; Mammalia; Primates; Hominidae. The record is from RNAcentral.